GCGGAGCUUAGAGAAAAUGGCGGCGCCCACAGAAAUGGGUGAAAAAUUUGAAUAAUUAAUUAAAAAAUCGGAAAAAUUCAGAAAAAAUUAGAAAAAAUCAGAAAAAAUCAAAAAAAAUUAGAAAGAAUUAGAAAAAAUUAGAGAAAAUCAGAAAAAAAUCAGGAAUAAAUCUGGGAUGGCCUAACUUCAGUUGAUGGUCCCUGUCGUUCACCCUGAUGUCUGUGGUUCCACGCGCGAAUGACGUUUGCAGCGUACUCUACUCUCCUCCUUGAAUCUCGAAAUAUUCUCCAAAAGGUCGUACAGAAAGCCACAAGUUCGAAUCUGGCUUGCUUGGAGCCCCACAGGUUACCUGCAUCUCGGAGCCCUUAGUACAGCUCUGUGCAACUAUUCAUUGGCUCAGGCAAACCAAGGAAUUCUUAUUCUACCCUUAGAAGACGUGGAUCAAACAGGACUCGUACCAAAUGCUGCCGGUGAACUCCAAGAGCCUUUAUUCUGGGCUCGCAUCAUUCCAGACAAACUAACGAUGUACUCGUGAUUAUAUUUAUUUAAAUACAUCGGGUAUUAUUGCGAACAAUCCAAUUAAUAAUUUUAUGUCAAGCAAAAUGAAAGCAUUGCUCAUAACAUUGUAAAGCAAUAGUCAUAGGAAUUAAUUUAUACAUAUUUGGAGAUGAACCUACCCAUAAUGUACGUAUAUUAUGAUGUCCCAAUAUAUGAUUUCUUCUAAUUUAUUUAUCAAUAAACAUAUACUAUCAAAA
This 755-nucleotide unclassified non-coding RNA is filed under the name Athalia rosae (coleseed sawfly). RNAcentral's name for it is "misc RNA ENSAEAG00005013046.1". The record is from RNAcentral. Lineage: Eukaryota; Metazoa; Arthropoda; Insecta; Hymenoptera; Athaliidae.